This is a long non-coding RNA of Astyanax mexicanus (Mexican tetra), 624 nucleotides long. RefSeq lists it as uncharacterized. NCBI's taxonomy places the organism in Eukaryota, Metazoa, Chordata, Actinopteri, Characiformes, Acestrorhamphidae. The transcript is spliced from 2 exons. The record is from RefSeq and is a predicted model, not a curated record.
AAAGUGCUGAAAGCCUGCUGUAAGAGGGGGGAAUUGUGGGCACCAGAGAUGCUCCAGCUCAGUCAAGAUGAAGGUCAGGGAGAAGCUUACAGAAGGCGACAGAGGAAUGAACAACACAUCAGAUACAGAUACAGACACUGACAAAACAGAUGUUUUUGACGUCAUAGAACAGCCAACCAAGUCCUGAUCCGUUUUUGCCUUUGUAAACAUUGCUUGAAACUCAUUAGCUCUCAAAUUUACAAUCUUUCAUUUACUCUGCUCCCUGUAUGCUUUUGCUGUUUUUCUUUCUCUGCUCCAUCGAAGUGCUCAUAGGUGAGGGAAGCUAAAGUUUGCAGUCCUUUGUGGACGUAAACAGACAAGGAUGCACCAAGACAGACUUCAAAAAUAAAUUGCGUUUUUAUAGUGAGUGUAUUACAGCUGAUCGUUAUACAAGAUUUCAUGUUCUUCUCUGAGCAUGGUCAGCUGUUCUCCAGUCAUUUUAUGAAUUCAAAGUCCUGUACCAUAAUUCACGUACUCUUAUUUGUGAAAUUAUUGCUGAAUCGUAGUCCAUCCAUUUUGAACUGAGUGUGACCUGACAACACUAACAUAUUUGUGUUCGUUUAUAAACCUAGAAGUGUUUUUUUG